Suricata suricatta (meerkat) is the source of this 137-nucleotide long non-coding RNA. RefSeq lists it as uncharacterized. Lineage: Eukaryota; Metazoa; Chordata; Mammalia; Carnivora; Herpestidae. The record is from RefSeq and is a predicted model, not a curated record. The transcript is spliced from 3 exons.
AGAACACACAGAAAAAGGCCACAUAUCGUUUUCCAACUCAAGGACAAGAAAGUGGUGGACACUUCACUCAGACUUGUGGAGUACAAGAAUGCGUCGGCUGGAAAAUACGCGUCUGCAGAUCGCCCAGGCACGCGGGC